RNAcentral lists this unclassified non-coding RNA (529 nucleotides) under Hevea brasiliensis (rubber tree). Lineage: Eukaryota; Viridiplantae; Streptophyta; Magnoliopsida; Malpighiales; Euphorbiaceae. The record is from RNAcentral.
AAUUUCAAUUUAUUCAAUUUUUUAAACUUUCAAAUCAAAUUUACCAAUGCCCAACCCUACAAAAAACGAUCAUUUUACCUGUGUGAUAGUUCAAAUACUACUUGCAGAUUUUAAAAACGGAACAACCUUUCCAUCAGUAAAUACAUAAUUCCAUUCUACUUUCUUUUCACGCCAUUAACCUUUUCAACAUUAAAAAAGGCCAGAAAACUCAAUUGUAGACAAGAAUCAAUAAAUCAAGGUAAAUGUCAAAACUUUCGAAAUCCCAUUAAAAAAACUAAUAGUUCUGAUGAUGAAUAAAAAAAUUUCUCUUGCUUCACUCACCCCAGCCAGUAGAAGCAGCUCCUGGAAAUUGCCUUGGUGGAGCUGCAGCAUCCCAUUCUGCACCCAAAGUGAACCCAAAAAGAAGUGGAUCAGUAGAACAAACAACAAAAUGGUGUUUUACAGAAAGCAGCAUCUAGCAACUGUGCAACACAUGUAUCUUUGAAAUGGUAGUGUACUAUGAGCGUAGUUAUUAACGGCUCAAGGCGCA